RNAcentral lists this ribosomal RNA (464 nucleotides) under Vreelandella stevensii. RNAcentral describes it as "partial 16S ribosomal RNA". It matches the Rfam family "Bacterial small subunit ribosomal RNA", at positions 339 to 795 of the family's 1533-position model. The record is from RNAcentral. Lineage: Bacteria; Pseudomonadati; Pseudomonadota; Gammaproteobacteria; Oceanospirillales; Halomonadaceae.
CCACGGGAGGCUGCAGUGGGGAAUAUUGGACAAUGGGCGAAAGCCUGAUCCAGCCAUGCCGCGUGUGUGAAGAAGGCCUUCGGGUUGUAAAGCACUUUCAGUGGGGAAGAAAGCCUUGGGGCUAAUACCCUCGAGGAAGGACAUCACCCACAGAAGAAGCACCGGCUAACUCCGUGCCAGCAGCCGCGGUAAUACGGAGGGUGCGAGCGUUAAUCGGAAUUACUGGGCGUAAAGCGCGCGUAGGCGGUCUGAUAAGCCGGUUGUGAAAGCCCCGGGCUCAACCUGGGAACGGCAUCCGGAACUGUCAGGCUAGAGUGCAGGAGAGGAAGGUAGAAUUCCCGGUGUAGCGGUGAAAUGCGUAGAGAUCGGGAGGAAUACCAGUGGCGAAGGCGGCCUUCUGGACUGACACUGACGCUGAGGUGCGAAAGCGUGGGUAGCAAACAGGAUUAGAUACCCUGGUAGUC